Micropterus dolomieu (smallmouth bass) is the source of this 2180-nucleotide long non-coding RNA. RefSeq lists it as uncharacterized. The transcript has 4 exons. The record is from RefSeq and is a predicted model, not a curated record. Lineage: Eukaryota; Metazoa; Chordata; Actinopteri; Centrarchiformes; Centrarchidae.
AUUAAUUAAAAUUCAUAAUUUUGUAUUAAUUCUCAUAAGUUUAUUAAAAACAUAAGUAGACAUGCUACACUACAAACACAAAUAUUCAGGUAACACAUGCACAUGCAGAUGAAGUAUAUAGGCAGCCAUAAGUGCACAUACAUACACGCCUUUAUCAGCACUUACACAAAUGCACCAGGCCUGAGGCCGAUUUUCCAUCAUUACAUUUCCCCACAUCCCUGGGGGUUUUGUGUCGUCUGCUCUCUCUUUUUCUCUACACAAGCUAAGACCUUUAAGUCACCUAUAACGGGGGCCACCAAUCAAUGAGAAGUCUAUCCACCAAGGAAAAGAGCCACACAAGGAAAGAGAGAACCAUUUAAAGCUUGCGAUCUUAAGGUGGUGUAACAGUAAACAUAGGUAGUCUAACCCAGUUGUGACCUUCCAUCUAAUCAGUAUUUUGAAUGCAGCUUGUGUUUACUUUUAAUGCAUGACUAAAAAGCUGCAGAUAAAAUGAUGUUGCUUACUUGAGCAGAUUACAGAGGUACAGGAACGACCCCCACCCCUCCCCCUCGCAAGAAGGUGUCAUUGAGGCAGUAAAGUGCUCCGUGCAAGAGAGGUGUGUUGUUUUUUUCAUGGAAAGCUGUGUGUGCUGUAGCCUGCUGAGCCCAGGCAGUUGGUUGGGUACACCAUGUGCUUGCUGAGCACUGCUGCCGUCUGGCAUGGAUGCUAGCAGUCAUCAGUACCAACGGCUGAUUCGAUUCAAGGUGAUCCACCUCCCACGCGGAUUGGAAGCUGUCACCCGUAAUUGGAGAAAUCACGACAGCACGGAGUUAAGUGCUCCACAGUCCCCGGGUGAAGAAUCUGACGGUGCACACUGCAGCACCAAGAGGAGAUGCAGGAAAAUGAGGAAAAUCUUUAUCACUGGGAAAGAUAAUCCUCUCUCCAUCCACCGAAAGAUCAAGAUUGACAUCAAAGGAGGUCCUGAACAAGUUGCCCUUGGUUGGAACAGCUUUUGCCAUGUUCUUUGGGCUCAUUUACACACUCAACCUAAAAUAUCUGAAAAGGCUUCAAUUCACCUUUAAAAUUAUGCGAAAGGAGCUUGAUGGAAAAAAAUUUAUGGUGUUUCUACAGCAAAGACUUCAUUUAGCAUGGCUACAUUUUCACUUCAGUAUUUACAAAUGUGGUGGCCCACAGCUGGAAGUAGGCAGAGUGUUCUGGACAACUGGAGACAAUGAUUGCAGCGUUUGCACAGAUUUGUACGGCAGAUUUUCAGACCAAGGGAGUGGGACGGGAGAUUUCUAUCUUGAGAACUGACGAGGUUCACACAAGUCAUCUUAAAAUCCUUGAGGAAAUUAAUUUGGAUAACUGCUGAUGUUAAAAAUGUGUUCUUUCAAAUAUUUUUUGCCUUUUAAAUGUUCCUAACUUGUGAUUCCAUCAAGUGAGUGAUACUUACCAACUUUGUGGAAGUUUUUGUUUGAGCUAUUACAUCUAAAUUAACUGUAUUCAAUUAAAUGUAUAGCUAUACAUUUAAAUUAAUACAGUUAAUAAGAUGUACAGCUCUCAAUCAGAAACUCUGUCAGUGUCUUAGACAGAGAAUACUCCUAAGGAGCAGCUCCAGGAUUUGUCUCUUGUGUUCAGCUGAAAGUGAUUUCAAAAACAUUUAAAAGAUGUGCAAUAUUGUUAUAAGGGUGAAAUGUGUUCUGUCAGGAAAGAACUUCCUAAUUAAAUGUUACUACAAAUGUGAAGUCAUCAAAUGACAAUUUAAAUUAAGUUAACACAUUUGUGGGGUUACAGUAUUUUUGUGUUCAAAUUGGUUUAUUUAAAGAUGAACAAAACACAUGGUCCAUAUGCUGAACUAGUAGUUGAUAUUUUUACGCUGUAGCACACACUGCCCCACCACAAUCUGUAAUGUCAGUAACUUUUUUGCCAAAGUCAGAUGUUAGUACAUCCAAAGACCUCACAGAUUAGGGUGGGGCAGUGUGUGCAGCAAGGUGAAAAUAUCAACCAGUAGGGCAGCAAAUUCACCAUGUGUUUAGCUUAUAGUAAUGCUCACACAUCAGAAAACGUAUACUGAUACUGCAUGAUGUCUUAGGAGUUGUGAUACUAUUCACAGCUCCAUGAUUUGUCUUUUGAUGUAAUCAGUAGUCCUUUUCUGGUGUUAAGCUGAAGGAGACUGCUCAUCUUCAUAUAUUUGAAACAGA